CGCAAGCCUGACGGAGCAAGACCGCGUGCGGGAUGACGGCCUAAUGGUUGUAAACCGCUUUUCUCUGGGAAGAAUGAUGACGGUACCAGAGGAAUCAGCCUCGGCUAACUCCGUGCCAGCAGCCGCGGUAAUACGGAGGAGGCAAGCGUUAUCCGGAAUUAUUGGGCGUAAAGCGUCCGUAGGUGGUUAUUCAAGUCUGCUGUCAAAGCGUGGGGCUUAACUCCAUAGAGGCAGUGGAAACUGGAUGACUUGAGUGCGGUAGGGGUCGAGGGAAUUCCCAGUGUAGCGGUGAAAUGCGUAGAUAUUGGGAAGAACACCAGUGGCGAAGGCGCUCGACUGGGCCUGCACUGACACUGAGGGACGAAAGCUAGGGGAGCG
Molecule: ribosomal RNA, 378 nt
Filed under: uncultured cyanobacterium
Lineage: Bacteria; Bacillati; Cyanobacteriota
Description: bacterial SSU rRNA
Rfam family: Bacterial small subunit ribosomal RNA
Source: RNAcentral